RNAcentral lists this ribosomal RNA (305 nucleotides) under uncultured bacterium. RNAcentral describes it as "bacterial SSU rRNA". It matches the Rfam family "Bacterial small subunit ribosomal RNA", at positions 335 to 637 of the family's 1533-position model. The record is from RNAcentral.
UCACCUACGGGGCGCAGCAGUGAGGAAUAUUGGUCAAUGGGAGAGAUCCUGAACCAGCCAAGCCGCGUGAGGGAAGACGGCCCUAUGGGUUGUAAACCUCUUUUGUCGGAGAACAAAACCCGGGACGUGUCCCGGACUGCGUGUAUCCGAAGAAAAAGCAUCGGCUAACUCCGUGCCAGCAGCCGCGGUAAUACGGAGGAUGCGAGCGUUAUCCGGAUUUACUGGGUGUAAAGGGAGCGUAGACGGCAGCACAAGUCUGGAGUGAAAUCCCGGGGCUUAACCCCGGAACUGCUUUGGAAACUGUG